RNAcentral lists this non-coding RNA (46 nucleotides) under Schistosoma curassoni. Lineage: Eukaryota; Metazoa; Platyhelminthes; Trematoda; Strigeidida; Schistosomatidae. The record is from RNAcentral.
GCACUGCUGAGGAGUCCCAUACUAGGACGACACGGCUGUCCAGUAC